RNAcentral lists this transfer RNA (116 nucleotides) under Puccinia graminis f. sp. tritici. Its description in RNAcentral is "tRNA-Leu". It matches the Rfam family "tRNA". From Rfam's summary of the family: Transfer RNA (tRNA) molecules are approximately 80 nucleotides in length. Lineage: Eukaryota; Fungi; Basidiomycota; Pucciniomycetes; Pucciniales; Pucciniaceae. The record is from RNAcentral.
GGCGACAUGGCCGAGUGGUCUAAGGCGCCGUCUUAAGGAGGUCCCUGGGACGUUCUAAUAUGUCCGAGCGGUGAUCCGGCGGUCUUCGGGCGUGGGUUCGAAUCCCACUGUCGUCA